UACGUAGGUGGCGAGCGUUGUCCGGAAUUACUGGGCGUAAAGGGCGUGUAGGCGGUUAUUUAAGUCAGACGUGAAAGCUCCAGGCUUAACCUGGGAACUGCGUUUGAAACUGAGUGACUUGAGGACCGGAGAGGGUAGUGGAAUUCCCAGUGUAGCGGUGAAAUGCGUAGAUAUUGGGAGGAACACCAGUGGCGAAGGCGACUACCUGGACGGCACCUGACGCUGAGGCGCGAAAGCGUGGGGAGCAAAC
This 250-nucleotide ribosomal RNA is filed under the name uncultured bacterium. RNAcentral's name for it is "partial 16S ribosomal RNA". It matches the Rfam family "Bacterial small subunit ribosomal RNA", at positions 524 to 773 of the family's 1533-position model. The record is from RNAcentral.